RNAcentral lists this ribosomal RNA (301 nucleotides) under uncultured bacterium. RNAcentral's name for it is "partial 16S ribosomal RNA". It matches the Rfam family "Bacterial small subunit ribosomal RNA", at positions 509 to 809 of the family's 1533-position model. The record is from RNAcentral.
CAGUCGCCACGGUAAUACAGAGGGUGCAAGCUUUAAUCGGAAUUACUGGGCGUAAAGCGCGCGUAGGUGGUUUGUUAAGUUGGAUGUGAAAGCCCCGGGCUCAACCUGGGAACUGCAUCCAAAACUGGCAAGCUAGAGUACGGUAGAGGGUGGUGGAAUUUCCUGUGUAGCUGUGAAAUGCGUAGAUAUAGGAAGGAACACCAGUGGCGAAGGCGACCACCUGGACUGAUACUGACACUGAUGUGCGAAAGCGUGGGGAGCAAACAGGAUUAGAUACCCCUGUAGUCCUGUCUCUUAUACA